Molecule: small nuclear RNA, 151 nt
Organism: Cercocebus atys (sooty mangabey)
Lineage: Eukaryota; Metazoa; Chordata; Mammalia; Primates; Cercopithecidae
Gene: U1
Rfam family: U1 spliceosomal RNA
About the family: U1 is a small nuclear RNA (snRNA) component of the spliceosome (involved in pre-mRNA splicing).
Source: Ensembl
AAACUUACAUGGACAGGGAACUACCUUGGUCAGGAAGGUGGUUCCAUGGCAGUUUAGCUUUUGUGUUUUGUAUGAAUGAUCUCUGCCAUUUUUCCAAAUAUGAGAAACUUAAUGGCAGGAUCUGUGGAAAAGAUAUAAUAUUCACUGUCCC